RNAcentral lists this ribosomal RNA (253 nucleotides) under uncultured bacterium. RNAcentral's name for it is "partial 16S ribosomal RNA". It matches the Rfam family "Bacterial small subunit ribosomal RNA", at positions 524 to 776 of the family's 1533-position model. The record is from RNAcentral.
UACGAAGGGUGCAAGCGUUAAUCGGAAUUACUGGGCGUAAAGCGUGCGUAGGCGGUUUGUUAAGUCUGCUGUGAAAGCCCUGGGCUCAACCUGGGAAUGGCGGUGGAUACUGACAAGCUAGAGUGCGGUAGAGGAGGGUGGAAUUCCCGGUGUAGCGGUGAAAUGCGUAGAGAUCGGGAGGAACAUCAGUGGCGAAGGCGGCCCUCUGGACCAGCACUGACGCUGAGGCACGAAAGCGUGGGGAGCAAACAGG